RNAcentral lists this long non-coding RNA (564 nucleotides) under Pongo abelii (Sumatran orangutan). RNAcentral describes it as "lincRNA". The record is from RNAcentral. Lineage: Eukaryota; Metazoa; Chordata; Mammalia; Primates; Hominidae.
CUCUCUCCGCCACGCCCCGGCACCGGGUAGACACCGCAGCCAGGUAACCAAAGAACCGCGAGUGAAGCUUUGGCCAGAUCAUUAAAAAGCUUCUCCUUGAAAAAUACUCAGAAGAUGCAACACACACACACACACACACGUGUGUGCACUUACACACGCGGACACCGUAUCACAUCAUCAGUGGGAAAAGUGAUAGAAUCUUGCUAAAGGCUGAUCAUACCAUAUUAAUCCGAUUCGCCAGAACUACUUUCUUCACUGAGCUCUCAGCCUGCUCCCAACCAGGUGUCUCCAGAACUUUUUCUCUCCGCCACCAACUCCGCCUCCAGACAAACAGCAGGUGCUUUCUGUCAUAGGGACUGGCGUGCCGCGGACAGUGUGAUAAAGAAACUGUAUGAUGGAUAUGAGAAAUUCGUAAGACCCAGCAGCAAAUGGGGAGCGGCUGGCGAGCGCUCCACAGCCCCCAAGCGUGGGAGCUCUAGAUCGGAAUUUGUAAUUUGGAAUUGGAACGUGAGCGCCGGAACAACUCUCCCAGUAACCACCUCUCCCAGUAACCACCUCAGCUGG